This 314-nucleotide long non-coding RNA is filed under the name Gossypium raimondii (Peruvian cotton). Its description in RNAcentral is "long non-coding RNA (GRAI_LNC011135)". The record is from RNAcentral. Lineage: Eukaryota; Viridiplantae; Streptophyta; Magnoliopsida; Malvales; Malvaceae.
AAGUGCAGAUUCACCCACGUUGGAAUAUAAUUCCAGGCUAUUCGCCAAAUUGUAAUUUUUAUCUUUGAAGGUAGAUUAAGGAGCCAGAUAUUUUUGUAAAAAUCCCUAGUUUCAGUUUGUAAGGCAUAAGCCCUAGGAUCAUUUUCAUUACCUUGUAAUAGUUUAUAGGCGCUUCUCACGGUGAACUCUCCCGAGGACUCUCCCCUCCAGGCUGGAAAAUCUUUGUGAGGCUCUUUUGCAAGCGGAAUGCAGAGGAUUCUCUCAGCUAUCUCCAGUGGAAAGGUAGGCUCAAUCAAGCCCUGUUUCCACUCCCU